This is a non-coding RNA of Parelaphostrongylus tenuis, 73 nucleotides long. NCBI's taxonomy places the organism in Eukaryota, Metazoa, Nematoda, Chromadorea, Rhabditida, Metastrongylidae. The record is from the annotation of a GenBank genome assembly.
GCGUCAGUAGUGCAGCGGUUUAGCAUGCGCUACCAGAAAGAGUGAGAUCUGGGUUCGAAUCCCAGGUGACGCA